Molecule: ribosomal RNA, 253 nt
Filed under: uncultured bacterium
Lineage: Bacteria
Description: partial 16S ribosomal RNA
Rfam family: Bacterial small subunit ribosomal RNA
Source: RNAcentral
UACAGAGGGGGCAAGCGUUAUUCGGAAUUAUUGGGCGUAAAGGGCGCGUAGGCGGCCUGGCAAGUGGAAGGUGAAAUCCCUCGGCUCAACCGAGGAACUGCCCUCCAAACUGCCUGGCUUGAGUCCGGGAGAGGUGAGUGGAAUUCCCAGUGUAGCGGUGAAAUGCGUAGAUAUUGGGAGGAACACCAGUGGCGAAGGCGGCUCACUGGACCGGAACUGACGCUGAGGCGCGAAAGCGUGGGGAGCAAACGGG